Durio zibethinus is the source of this 2488-nucleotide RNA transcript. RefSeq lists it as uncharacterized. The record is from RefSeq and is a predicted model, not a curated record. Lineage: Eukaryota; Viridiplantae; Streptophyta; Magnoliopsida; Malvales; Malvaceae.
CAAGAUUCUUUCCGAAUGUUCUUAUAUAUAUUGUUUAUAAUUUUAACAGCCACGAACCCUAGCCCUCAAUCACUCGCAAUCUUUUCUCCCAACUCGGCCUCGCUCUUCUUCUCAACUGCGAAAAUGUCUCACUUCGGAAGGUCAGGCCCUCCCGACAUCACCGACACAUACUCUCUUCUCGUCCUCAACAUCACUUUCCGCACGUCUGCUGAUGAUUUGUUUCCGCUCUUCGACAAGUACGGGAAGGUCGUCGACAUCUUCAUUCCUAAAGAUCGAAGGACCGGUGAUUCUCGAGGUUUUGCAUUUGUGCGCUACAAGUAUGCAGAUGAGGCACAAAAAGCUGUGGAGAGGCUCGAUGGGAGGGUAGUCGAUGGUCGGGAGAUAACAGUUCAAUUUGCAAAAUAUGGACCUAAUGCAGAGAGGAUUCACAAAGGAAGGAUUAUUGAAUCAUUUCCAAAGUCAAAGUACAGGUCAAGAAGCCGCAGCCCUCGCAGAAGGCACCGGGAUGACCAUCACAAAGAUAGGGAUUAUAGGAGAAGAAGUCGUAGUCGAAGUUAUGAUAGGUAUGAACGUGAUCGUUAUCGUGGGAAAGACAAAGACUAUGGGCGCCAAAGCAGGAGCCGUAGUGCAAGUCCUAACUAUUCUAAAGGCCGAGGAAGAGGCCGCUAUGAUGAUGAUCGGCGGAGUAGUAGUCGAUCAAUAAGUGCUUCUCCUGCUCGCCGCAGCCCUAGUCCUCGAAAGAGUCCUUCUCCACGCAAGGCAUCUUCCCCUAGGGGUGAAAGUCCUGAUAGACGCAGCCGUGAUGGACGGUCCUCAAGUCCUCGAAGUGUUUCACCACGAGGUCGUCCUGCUGAUUCUCGGAGCCCAUCUCCUCGAAACUCAGACGUUGAUGAAUGAUCGCUGAUAGCAGGGGAAUUCCUGGAUACAUUAAGUAGCAUGUUUCUUUCUUCUAUGUUGCAAAUGUUGGGAACGUUCAAAUGUCAUGCGUUUCUAGUAUUGCAAUGUUCGGGGAAAGAGUGACUUGGGCAAUUGGACAUGAUGUGACAUGAUGUUGAUGUUGUGGCUGUUGAUGCUGUAUGUAUCUGUAGAUGAAUGAUCGUGAUUGUGAUGCUGGUUAUAUCAGUAUGCUGAUUGCAGUGAAAGUUUGUUAACUAUUUUUUAACUGAAAGAUAUGGUGAUUGUUGCUGUGAUGGUAUAAAAGGGACCCAAGAUGAUUUUUUUGACCUGUGGAAUGCUGCGAUUGAUGGACCUGUGAUGCAUUAGACGUGAUGCGGUUUACUAAAAUAAAAAUGUAAUGUCUGGUCUGAACCUUGCGAUUACAUUGAUUGAACAGAAUAACUUGUUUCUGUUUAAUUGUUUGAUUGGUGUAUUCCAUUAAUCAUGUUUAACCACACCCUUCUGCUUAAUGUUUGAGUUGUAGCAAAAUUGACCAUGACCGUAGCUGUGAAGUGGUGGUUGUGCCAAUUCUGUUCCAAGGUACAUGUGGCUCGUGGGUAACUAUUGAGUGCCAAUGAAUAACCUGUAGCAGGCUGUUGCUGCCUUUUUUGUCUGGUCUCAUUGAAAAUGCUUUUAGCAGUUGCCUAACUUGCUGGCUGGUUUGCUUGUCGCGGGCUGUUGCUGCCCUUCCUGUGGGGUCGUGUCAGGUUGGUACUGGCAGUGUUUUGGUAUGCAUACGAUAUGCCACCCUUGGUCACAUGUUAGGGUUACAUUUAUUAUCAGUCAUUUUCUUUUAUCUGUUCUAAAAGUUCUUUUGCUAUUAUUAUGACGAAGAAAUUGUGAUCUUAUACGAGAUCACUCUUCAUUCAUUCCUAGACUCUAUUUUAUUAGUAGGGGAUCUCCCAUAUUUAUUAUGGUCUGAGCUUGCUGAGGUGCAUAUAGAAUGAAAUUACUGAAAAAUUUAGGAACCCGUUCGAUGGUGAUUAAACAUGUUAAAAGAACAAAUAAACGAAGACAAUUGCUGUUUUGAGCCAAAACCUUGAGCUGUGCAUUAAAUGUUGUUGCUGUCCUUUAUCUCUGUUAGUAUGUGUUGCAUGUAUAGUCUACAAAAAUUUUAUGAAUAAAAGAAUUUCUGAUAGCAUACAAUUUGUGUUUUGGCUUCCUGGUUUUCCCAUUUAUUUUCUGAAAAUUUCUAGAUGAACUGGCGAUGUUGUGACUACUGAAUUGCUUUUGUAGGCAUGAUAUCUAGUUGGCUUAUUUUGCAUUAAGUUCAUGGUCUUGAGUUUGUUACUUCGUUUCAAGGGAUAUGUUUUUAACUUGAGUGACAGGUUAUUAUAAAUAUUUCGUUUCAGCAAAGCAUGAUUCAUCCUUAAUUUAUCGCAUGAUGGUGAAUCUCCUGACACAUUACAUCAAAUAGGUUUGUGGAAUUAGAAUUUAUCCAAAACUUUAUUGGUAAAUUCUUGAAAUGCAAAGCACCAAAUCCAUCUGUACGACAUUUUCAUGCCAGUGUUUGACUUUGUUUGAAUCUUCAAAUCAAAUUGUAUUGGAUUUA